RNAcentral lists this long non-coding RNA (1331 nucleotides) under Numida meleagris (helmeted guineafowl). RNAcentral describes it as "lncRNA (ENSNMEG00000007567.1)". The record is from RNAcentral. Lineage: Eukaryota; Metazoa; Chordata; Aves; Galliformes; Numididae.
ACAAGGAUGGCAUGGGAAAUGGGUACUCUUGUUGCUUAGCCUGCCCUUUGACUAGAACACUGCAAUCUACAGCAGUAUCAACCUGGUACCUUUUACCCCUGCUGACCGCUCACAUUCACCAAGAUAUAUAUGCUUAUUACUAAACACUUAUUGGUCUAUCCGUGUGCUUUCAGUUUGGCAUAAUUUCCUCAAAUGCAAUGCUCACUACAAAUAUACAGUAGGAGAGAAAAGAUCUGGACCAGUAUAAACCCAGGAGGCAAACUGAUGCACACUAAUCCUAGCCUUCAUGUUUCCUCUUCCCUACUAAAAAGUUAUUGAAAGCACAGGGUUCAAUAAGUUGCCUGUGACCCACACAUUGCUCAAUAUUUCACUCUGAGAUCAUGUCCACAAAAUGAGCAUGAAGGGAAAAAAAAUAGAGAAAUAAAAGGAGAGGAAUUCUACAACCUCCUGCAUUCAUCCAAAUCUUUGUCAGCAUCUCCAAAGCAAAGAGGUUGUUAAACAGGGAUCUAAACUGCUAGUAAAUGGAGUUGGAGGAAAAUUGAGGAUCGUCAGUCCCACCUUUGGACAAUGUUCUGCAGGCUUCUGUGGUAGUAUGGAGAGUUCAGGAGAAAUGUCUGAGAAGCUAAAGAAGAGGGAAACCACAGCCUAUUCAGUGAGCCAGUGGAAGGAUUUAUUACUCCAUUGUAUAUGCUGCUUGUGUUGAUUUGCCCCAUCUGGGAGCUGGGAAAGAGCAGUAUACCCAUCUGCUGUGCAGCACAUGAAGAGCAGGACCCAGCCAACAAGAGCUGCACGUAGAUGCUGAGAUGGAAGAAGACAGCAGCCCAGACAUGCUGCCAGCCUGUGACCUUCUGCAAGGCGGUCUCAGGGCCAGCAGUGUAAAGGACGAGAUAGAUCUUCCUCCCACUGUCAUCACAAGCUGAGAGAAGAGAUGCUAACAGCCUCCUGUGUACUGCAGUGGAAGGCAGCUGGCACAGAAAGCGUGGAACCACAGGAAAAGGAAAUCCAUUCAUCACAAUUCUGGAAUGCUGGAAAACUCACUGAGGAACUACAAAGGGCAGAUGGACCAUUACAUGAAUUGAAACAUAUUUUAAUGGAUACUCCCAGUGGUGAGAGAAUAUUGUCUCAUUAGCUCCAUGGGGAAAACAGUGUAAACCCAAAGCUGAGUAGCUCACCUAUCCAUAUGGUGGGUGAAAAGAGGUGUCCUUACAGCAUAUGCUACAGGCAACGAUGCCUCCUGAAUUGCUAGAAGAUCAAACUUCUGAGGUGUGACAAGGAGACGAUGAACAAAGAGUUUGUCUUUUUCCUGUCUGGGCUGUCCGAAUGCUUGUGUA